UCUCCGUUGGUGAACCAGCGGAGGGAUCAUUACCGGGUUUACAACUCCCAAACCCCAUGUGAACCUUACCAAACGUUGCUUCGGCGGGAUGCCCCGGGCGCGGGCCGCAAGGCCUCAGCCCCGGAACCAGGCGCCCGCCGGAGGCCCAAACCAAACUCUUGUUUUUGUAGAAUCUUCUGAGUGGCCUUUUAGGCAAAAAAUGAAUCAAAACUUUCAACAACGGAUCUCUUGGUUCUG
RNAcentral lists this unclassified non-coding RNA (237 nucleotides) under plant metagenome. Its description in RNAcentral is "partial contains small subunit ribosomal RNA, internal transcribed spacer 1, and 5.8S ribosomal RNA". The record is from RNAcentral.